RNAcentral lists this microRNA precursor (205 nucleotides) under Oryza barthii. Its description in RNAcentral is "MIR812 microRNA precursor family". It matches the Rfam family "MIR812 microRNA precursor family". Lineage: Eukaryota; Viridiplantae; Streptophyta; Magnoliopsida; Poales; Poaceae. The record is from Rfam by way of RNAcentral.
AAAAAGACAAACUCUGGGUUUCCGUGUCCAACGUUUGACUGUCCGUCUUAUAUGAUUUUUUUAUAAUUAGUAUUUUUAUUAUUGUUAGAUGAUAAAACAUGAUUAAUACUUUAUGCGUGACUUGUCUUUUUAAUUUUUUUCAUAAUUUUUUCAAAUAAGACGGACGGUCAAACAUUAAACACGGAAACCCAGGGUUUGUCUUUUU